CCUUUGAUCUAAGCAGUUAAAAAAGAAGCUAACAUACCAUACAGUUGGAAUUAAGAACAAGAUUCAUAAAGUCAUCUUAUACAUGCAGAAAAAGGUCUUGAUGCAAUAGAUAAAACAAUAAUUUCAAAAAUAAUGCAGAAACAUGGCAGAGAAGGAGCCUAACCUCAAUAUUAUAAAAGCUAUAUAUGAGAAAUGUGAAGCUAACAUCACACUAAACUGAUAAAAAUUAAAGGUUUUCCUCAAAUUUCAGGAGCAAGACAUGAAUGUUGACUUUUACCACUUCUAUUUAAUACAGUUUUCAAAAGUAAAGUCAGAACAAUCAGGCAAAAGUAGAAAUUUAAAAGGAUACAAAUAGAAAAAUAAGAAGCCAAAUUCUCCCUUUUACUUGGUGAUAAGAUUUUAUAUUUCGAAGACUCAAAAAUUGUCACCAAAAAAAUUCUAGACCUGAUAAAUUUAGCAACGUAGUAGGAUAAAAGAUCAACACUCAUAAAUCUAUAGCAUUAUUAUACAGUGAUUCAGCUGAAAAAAAGAAUUCAAUAAAACCAUCACUUUCACAAUAAUCUGAAAAAACACCUGGGGAUUAAUCUAACCAAGGUGGUGAAAUAACUCGAGAAUGAAAACCGUAGAACACUGAAAAAGAAAUCUAAGAACUCAGAAGAUGCAGAGACCUACUUUCCAUGUUCUUGGAUAGGCAGAAUUAAUAUUGUCAAAAUGGCCAUGCUACCAACAGCAAAAUUCAGAUUGAAUGCAUUCAAUACAAUUCCCUUCAAAAUACAAAUGAUGUUUCUUACAGUAUUGAAAAACCAGCCCUGAAAUUUAUUUGGGAUAAUAGUAAUAAUAAUUUGACAAAGAAAUUCUGAGCAAGAAAAAGUGUUGUAGAAGCCAUCACAAUACUCAAUCUCAAAUUUUACUACAGAAAUGAGUAGCAAAAACUGUAUUGUAUUGGCCUCAAAAUAGAUAUGAAUAUCAGUAGAAUAGAAUAUACCACAUAGAGACAACCCACUUGAUAUUUAGUGCCAUCUGAUACCUGACAAGGGCACCAACAUAUAUGUUAAUGGGAGAUAAUGGUACACUGAUCCAUUGUUGGUGGGACUGCAAAUUAUUAUGACAACUCUGGAAAGCAAUAUGGAAAUUCCUGAAAAACCCACCAGUGAAACCCAUAUGACUCAGCUAUUACAUUCCUCUCUACUUUUUCAAAAGAACUACAAAUCAGAAUACUAUGGUGAUACAAUCACUUACAUGUUUUCAGCAGGUAAAUUCAUAGUAAAUACAUUGUAAGAUCAACCCAGAUGUCCAUCAACAGUUGAAUGGAUGAAGUGCCCAAAAUUCAAUGGUAACUAGAUCUUCACUUCUGGAGCUAUAGCACUGCUGAAUGGCUCAAAGCAUAUAAACUUGUACACACCAAACAAAAGAAGAAUUGGAACUCUGAAUAUAUUAGAAUAAUUAUUGAAAAAUGGACACAAUGACUGGAUUUCCACAGCACUUUGUCUGACUUUUCUUUGGGGUAAACACUGUUUGUUGGCAACAGGUGGACUCAUUUGGCCCAAGGCCUGCAGAAGUCUUCUGGAUGUUUUGACUUCUUACAAUGCUUACAUGGGAGGCAAGAACCUGGAAAAUGUGAUAAAACAGUUGUUGACUGUGCUAGCAAGAAAACAGAGUUAUCAAUAAUAAUUCAAAUAACAAUUCAAGAAACUUUAAUUGACAAGAGAUAAUUGUAAAUAUCUGGGAGUACAAUUUGAGCCUUUUAAUUUAAGUAUUCAUAAUACAAUAAUAGCAUGCCCAUGAACUUAGAUAUUUGUUGUAGUUUUUUUUUUUUUUUUCCCUGAUGAGAAUUCUUUCAUUUUAAACAACAAGAAUGAUCAUUAGUUGACUGAAAUAGGUCAGGCACAGAAGGACAAAUGCUGCAUAAUAUUGAGAGCUGUUUAUUGGAAGUGAAAAAUUGAUCUUAUAAAACCCAAGAGUAGAAUAUUAGUUUCCAGAGCAGGGGAGAGAAUGUUACAAUUGAAUAUUAGGGAAAAAAAGUUCUGGUGUACUUUUUUGCAGUCUGUGACCAGAGUUGAAAAUAACACACUCUAUGUUUCAAUAAAUUUUAGAGAGAGGGAUUUGAAUGUUAUUAGAAUUCACAGUGUUGAACUCAUUUUUCACCAUUAGGAUAGCAAAGCCCCUGAGUCAGAUUGGGCUUUAGGAUGACACUGCAAUGUGAUGAAGUUUAAAAGCCCACAAAAUGUUGUGUGUGUAAACACAUUUACUAAGGUGAAAUCACAGAACGGUAGUGAGAACAGUGACCACAAGCAGAGGCUGUGGUUGGUCAUGUGGCUUAUGUUGAAAUCCUACCUGAAUGUUACCUACCUGUGAGAGUUAAAUAAACCCCUCUGUGCCUCAAUUGCUUGUUGGAAGAUGCAAAAGUGUUCAUCUGAUCCAUGUAAUGUUAUAAGGCUGACAGUGAUCACAUACAGACAGUCUUAAGAAGACUGAUGUGUCAUGUAUGUGCUAAAGAGCCAUAUCAUUAAAUAGGAUGCUUCAUUAAAUGUGUGGAAGAAUAAGCUCAAUCUUUGACAGUGUUUGAACAGAGAGGUGUCAAACAGAUGUCAUCCUCCAGGGCAGUGGGUGAAGAAAGUCUAUUCUUCAUUCUUUACAUAGAUGGAUGUUUGUAAAGCUCAUGGAGAAUAUUUAUGACCCCCUGUAACUCCAUAUCAGCAUGAAGAUAUGGGUGGAUCAGAGUCUGUCAGCCACAAUUUUGAGUUUAGGUGUUUGAAAUUUGGAGAUUUUAUGUGACUUGCCCAGAUUCACAACAGUCAUGAGUGGUGGAUGUGGGACAGGAUUGUAGUUAUUUACCUGGGACCAAAGAUCCCUGAGCCCUUGAGUCCUCUAGUGGACACCCUGGAACUAGGAACCCAGAACUCUUCUUAGUCUUUCUUAAAUGCUUCUCCUCUCAGGCCUCCUUGGUAAGAGGCCUUAGUCCCAGAGGAUUGACUGAUCCAAGAAAAAUGUUCAUGUUAUAACCCAGGCUCCUGCCUCUUCAUUACAGUUACUGACUAAAAAUAUGAUGAUUUCAUGCAAAUGAAGUCUAUCUGAAAGUCAAUAGUAGAGUCCACACUUGUGGCCAUCAUCCCCCAGGAUCGUCUCACUGCUUGCUGCCUCACAAUGAGACUUCCUGAUGAGCAGUUGACCACCCAAAUCAUCAGAGCUCUGUAGGGCUCAGAAACUGUUUUAGAAAUUGGGACAUUCUAAACCAACUGCCAUUUGAUGGCUGUGCCAAGAAUGAAGUUUCCUUCUGCUUUUCCCACCUGGGGUGGCCUGUUAAUGUGAAUUAAUUUGGGGAAACAGAUACCCUGGCUUAUGCUUUGGUGUUUCAGUGUCGUAAAUUGUCCUGACCCCAUGUCUGCAUACUAAUAUUCUGAGCCAUCAUCUGAGCAGCCAGACAAAGGUCUGGCUGAAAACAUCAUUGCUGCAGGUACACCAACUCUGAUCAGGCAUAUUCUUGCUCCUGGCCUUAGAUGCCUCUAUCUAGACCCUGCAGAGCCAGGAGCCAAAGACUAUCUGCCUCACAUGAACCCACCAAUAACUACAACCUGUGAACCUCCACCAAUGAAUUCUCCAUAAAGAGCACCAAAGCCUUCAUUUUUUCUGUUCUCAGAUGUCCACUCCACUGACCUCAUGGCACUGUCCUUCCUGCCUCCUUCCCAGGAGCCCCCACACACCAGGGAUUUUGUAGACAUCAACCACUUGGAAACUUUCCCCAAAAUCUCAGUCCUUUUUUCUUCAUACUAAUGUCUUGAUUUAGACUUCUCUAAUAUUAUUUUUAGAUGUUAAUAUACAUUCAGAUGAGUUUGGCCUCUAGUUGCCCUUUCAUGGGAUAUAUAUUGCCAUUCUUAGCAUCCAUAUACUCUCUUUCACUUUAUUUCUUGAUCUCAUGAAAGCAAGGUGGAUGUUGUCCCCCUUUUUGUUUAUUUGCUUCAAGAGUACACAUGAUGCUGGCAUUAGGAAAUGUCCAUUUUACUAAAUUUAGAAAAAUAGUUUUGGUAACCAGGUCAAUAGAACAAGCAAAUAUAUAAAUUGAGUGAUAAAACAAAAUCACAAAAUAUUUAAAUCUCAGCAGAGAAGAUUCAGUGUGGGAAAUUAAAAAAAUCAAUAGUAAAAUGUAUUUAGUAAAUGUUAUUUGAUCCCUUUGAACAUACAGUCUUGAAAAUAUCAUUGUCAACAUACCUUCACCGCAGCACUUUAGAUUUCCCAUGACUGACUAGCAUUUCAAAAAUUCCCUAUGCUUCUCCAACUUUAACACCAACUCACUCACCACAGCAACUGACAGUUGACAUGGAAGGUAAAAUGUGCAUCCCAAAUUACCAUUAUAGAAUUUUCAUUGUGAGCACAUGUCACAUUAUGUGGUACUGCUGUUCUCUAAAUAAGCAUAUUUUACAUGUCCAAGUGUGUUGUUGAACAGUCUGUGUGUUGCUUCAAAUACUGAAACCUAGGCCCACAUAUUAAUAUUCUGUUUAUGAAAAUAAGUUAAAUCCAAAAAAAUAUUAUUCUCCCCAAAUAAUUUAAUUGAUUAUAAUAAUCUAUUGUGAAAGGAGGCAUAGCUACAAUUUUGAGAAUCAAGAGGUUCCCUUCCUGGUUUGAAAUGCCAUCCCUCCACAUUUCCCACCCUUUCUGAAUCUCCAGACAUAUGUAGAUAGAAAAAUUUAAAACUUCUUUUAGAUUCAGAAUGAAAUAUAUUCAAAGUAUUAUCAUGUAAUAGGGGAGAGAUUUUCAGGGUGGGAGAAUUUCAAGAUUACAUCCCCCAUAUUUGAAAUUUGAAAACAAAAUUAUUUUCUAUUUAGUAUUAUUUAAUUCAGUCAUUUGAAUUCAUCUUUUCUUCCAUGACUCCUGCUGAUGAAUUGGUUCUUUUGCUUAUCAUCUGACUCUGUCAUCUCAUGCCACAAGAACACAUGAUUGAAGAUGCCCAUGAUGAGGUCCAAACUAACAAAAUAUGAAAUAACUCCACAUUGUAAAGGCUAUCUAUGCUAAGCCCAAUGCAAACGUUAUUCUAACUGAGAAAAACUGGAAGCAUUUCCUCUAAAAACUGGAACAAGACAGGGAUGUCCUCUUCCACCACUUCUAUCCAACAUAAUCCUUAAAGCUCAGAGCAAUCAGAUGAAAGAAAUUAAAGGGAUACACAUAGGGAAAAAAGAACUCAAACUAUGACUAUUUUGCUGGCAAUAUGCUUCUAUAUGUAGAAGAUCCAAAAAAUCCCCCCAGAAACCUACUAGAACUAAUAAAUGAAUUCAACAAAGUAGGAGGAGAUAAAAUCACUACCCCAUAAAUCAAAUGCAUUUCUAUAAAUAAGUGAUGAAUCCACUGCAAGAAAAAGUAGGAAAACUAUUCCAUUCACAAUAGAAAAAGAAACCACAAACUUCAUUUGGAAAAAUAAGAGGCCAAGAAUAGUCAAAGCAAUCCUCUACAAGAAGAGUGAAUCAGGAGGCAUCACAAUACCAGACCUUAAACUUUACUACAGAGCCAUAGUAACAAAGAUAGCAUGGUAAUAAUACCAAAGUACACAUGUAGACAAUGGUACAAAAUAGAAAACACCACAUAAAUAUGACUAUCUCAUAUUAGACUAAGGCACCAAAAACAUAGAUUAUAAAAAAGAUAGCCUCUUCACCAAAUGAUACUGGGAAAACUGGAAAUUCAUAUGUAGCAAAUGAAAUUAAAACUCUAUCUCUCACCCUGCAAAAAAACUAACUCAAAGUGGAUCAAGACAGUAGAACAGAGACCCUGCACCUAAGAUAAGAAAAAGUAGACCAAGUACCACAUGGACCUGUGUAUACUGGAGCAGCCACUGGCAUCAAGAGAAUCAGUGUUAUUCCCUCUGUGGACCCCAUGCCAUAGAGGUGCCUCUGACCCUGAAAGCAGAUUAAGCCCAGCGUAGGUCACAGGCUACUGGACCAUCCUGCUGCUGCUAGACUUGGCAGUAGAUUCCCAUGGUAGAGGCCUCAACUGGGAGUGGACUUUAGGCACAGGAGCCUGACCAUGAAGCAGUCUGUCCAACCUGAAGAGCCUUUGGAGCAGGUAAGAAGUCUUGUAGGGAUGUGGGAGUCUCAGCUGAAGCUGGGAAUGGUUGGUAGAGAAAGAGGGCAGCAUAGGCGGCAAAAGGGAUGAGAAAGAAGGGUCAGCCUGAGAGACUGGCCUGAAGUACUGAUUUUUUAAUCCUUUGUGGGUUUGUUUGAAUUAAUUGUCAACAUUGUAUUGAAGUAUUACUUAUCUCGGUUCCUCCAGCUUUUUGCCCCAAGGAGAGUGACUCCCUCACUCCCCUUAGUCCAUUGGUAGUGUCUUCCAUUUGCACAGGGUUCAGGCUUUACACUUCUCCUUCUCCCCCUUUUCUCUUGGUUGUGCUGUUAUGUCAGCAUCCUUAUGGUUUGGCUGAGCUACUGAAGAUGGGAAGCAGGGAUCCCGUCAUCAAACUCUCAGCCAAGGAUCCUCAACCAGGGCUGCAUCCUGAGGUUGCCUCUGCCCCAGACAUGUAGAUGUAUGAUCAUGUCUUGCAUUUUGUGACACAAAGGUAAGUGCUGGGGUGGGAACCCAGUGUUUGGCCCAUGAGAAGCCCCUCUCUACCACUGAGCUACAUCCCCAGCUCUGUCCUAUGAUGGUCUAAGAGAAGGAGUGUUCUGCAAAGCCCUCCUCUGAUAAUGAAGUGAGGGUUUGGCUUGUUCUCCCCCAAAGAUAUUCACUUACUAUCUUUUUCAUAAACAUUUCCUGGGUACCAGGCCUGGAGAAAACAGAGCUGGCCUGAGCCAAGGGACAUAUCUAGUCAUGGGGGACAGACUCUUGAUCCUUUCUAGGAGUAAUAGAUCUAGAGAAGGGGUGCUUCCUCUAUGGGUUGAUGCCCAAGCUGGUCUCAGAGAUUAAUGGGUGCUAGCUAGUGAUGAGGUAGAUAAGCAGAGGUACCAGUGUUCCAUGGAGAGGGGAGGUGGGUGGGCACCCAGGGACACAGGAAGCUGUUGGGCCAAAGUAGGUAGAACACCUAGGUCUGGUAUCCCGGAUUGGUUCUGCAGUCCGGAUGCAGUCUUUGGAGGAUUUAAGUAGAAUAAUGUCAGUGUCAAAUUUGUGUUUUGGAAAAAAUGAAAGGGUUUGGAGGCUGGUGUGAGGCCAGAUUUGAGUCUAAGUACAGAGACAGAAGACAUAGAUGGGGCAGCAGCAGUGAGGGGUCUGGGUGGUGUUGAACUGGGACCACAGCCUGCUCCUGGGGAUGGAGAGAAUGUGCUGGUCCAUAUGCCAAAAUUGCUAUGAAAUUGACAAAUGAAUUUAGAGCAAUAAUACCUGGGAGGAAUGGGUUCUUUCACAGACUGUUUGUAAGGGCCUCAAUGUACAACAAAUUCAGUAAUAUGAAGCAAGUCAUGAAAGAAAAUGGGUUUAUCUAAAGUGUGUAAUUCCACUUCUUGAAAUUUAUCCUCAGGGGGAAUUAAAGCCACAACCAAAGAUUUUACAAACAAGGCCAUCUAUCUAGCUCAAUGUUAUUAACAAUGGGAGAAAAUUGGAACUAUCCUAAAUAUCCAUGAGAAAGAGUGAGACAAAGCAGUAUGGCACAUCCAUCAUAAAGCAUCUUACACAAACCCUCAAAAUUAGAUUUCUGAAAGAUGGAAUCCAGCAACAAG
Molecule: long non-coding RNA, 7631 nt
Filed under: Marmota monax (woodchuck)
Lineage: Eukaryota; Metazoa; Chordata; Mammalia; Rodentia; Sciuridae
Source: RNAcentral